This 440-nucleotide ribosomal RNA is filed under the name uncultured bacterium. Its description in RNAcentral is "partial 16S ribosomal RNA". It matches the Rfam family "Bacterial small subunit ribosomal RNA", at positions 339 to 795 of the family's 1533-position model. The record is from RNAcentral.
CUACGGGUUGCACCAGUGGGGAAUAUUGCACAAUGGACGAAAGUCUGAUGCAGCAACGCCGCGUGGAGGAUGACACAUUUCGGUGCGUAAACUCCUUUUAUAUAGGAAGAUAAUGACGGUACUAUAUGAAUAAGCACCGGCUAACUCCGUGCCAGCAGCCGCGGUAAUACGGGAGGGUGCAAGCGUUACUCGGAAUCACUGGGCGUAAAGAGCGUGUAGGCGGAUAGAUAAGUCAGGAGUGAAAUCCUAUGGCUCAACCAUAGAACUGCUCUUGAAACUGUCUAUCUAGAGUGUGGGAGAGGUAGAUGGAAUUACUGGUGUAGGGGUAAAAUCCGUAGAGAUCAGAAGGAAUACCGAUUGCGAAGGCGAUCUACUGGAACAUAACUGACGCUGAGACGCGAAAGCGUGGGGAGCAAACAGGAUUAGAUACCCUAGUAGUC